UUUUACUUAGAAAAAUAAUUCAAUACAUCAUUAUAUAUAAGUACAAUGAUUUCUUAUUUCUGAUAAAAGAACUAAACGUAUAUGAAAGCCAAAAAUAAUCUAUUAAAGACGAUGAAAAGAAUUACAAGCGAGGAAAAUAUAUAGACCUUCAAAAGGCAGAAAAUCCAAACCUGACACCAUCAAUCCUUCCAUCUCUUCUCUCUCUUCUCCUCUGCUAUGGCGUCUGAAAUCACCUGGCAGAAGUCGUUCGUGGAGGCAGCAUACACCUGCAAUUGCGGCUCCUGCACACUGCUCGCCGUCAACUCCAGCGGGAAGGUCUAUAUUCAAGUUUUACAAGAGUUCAAUACCCAGAGGUGACCUUCAACUGGAAUGAUGAGGACAUCAGCGUGAGUUCUACAUGUCCCUGUGGAGCUGUAUUUAGGUUUGUUUGCUCUGAGUAUGAUAGCAAUUUAACCAUCUGUAAUGCCUGAGAAGCCUUCACAUCAAAGGUUUUAGCAUUCUUCUUUGGAUUAGAUUUGGCUUAUGAUUAUCUUUGAGAAAUCUUGAUUUUUGAUUUGUCUAUCUUAUUGUGAUUUGUACUCGUUGGUUUGGCUUAUGAUUAUCUUUGAGAAAUCUUGAUUUUUGAUUUGUUUAUCUUAUUGUGAUUUGUACUCGUUGGCUUGGCUUAUGAUUAUCUUUGAGAAAUCUUGAAUUUUGA
Raphanus sativus (radish) is the source of this 697-nucleotide long non-coding RNA. RefSeq lists it as uncharacterized. The transcript has 2 exons. Lineage: Eukaryota; Viridiplantae; Streptophyta; Magnoliopsida; Brassicales; Brassicaceae. The record is from RefSeq and is a predicted model, not a curated record.